Molecule: long non-coding RNA, 363 nt
Filed under: Manacus vitellinus (golden-collared manakin)
Lineage: Eukaryota; Metazoa; Chordata; Aves; Passeriformes; Pipridae
Description: lncRNA (ENSMVIG00005018808.1)
Source: RNAcentral
AAGCCCAAAGGAGUACUGCACACACUGAAGAGGUCACCAGGAGCGGUUGUGCAGGCUCUGGGUCGUUCCAUCCAGCAUGGACAAAAAGGCUGCACAGCGUUCAGUUUCUGGAAGAUCUCUCUCUGGGAGAAGGAGGGCUGCUGUGAGUCUUAUUUCACUGUGAUCAAGUUAUUCCUCCCGGACAGUGUGAAAGACAAAUCAGGGAGUUUUGGAUACCAUCUCUUGAAGAGAAUGAAUCUGGAUUCAAUGCAUCUGGCUGUAGAAAGAAUUACAGAAGUACUGAUUUAAUUGAUUCCAUGGAUUUGCAACCAGCAGUUCAGCAGCUGCUUCAUGAGCCAUCCUUGCAGGAGGGGAACGUCAGAG